RNAcentral lists this ribosomal RNA (435 nucleotides) under uncultured bacterium. RNAcentral's name for it is "partial 16S ribosomal RNA". It matches the Rfam family "Bacterial small subunit ribosomal RNA", at positions 28 to 507 of the family's 1533-position model. The record is from RNAcentral.
GAUGAACGCUGGCGGUAUGCUUAACACAUGCAAGUCGAACGGACUCUUCGGAGUUAGUGGCGGACGGGUGAGUAACGCGUGAGAAUCUGGCUUUGGGUUCGGGACAACCACUGGAAACGGUGGCUAAUACCGGAUGUGCCGAGAGGUAAAAAAGAAAUUGCCUGAAGAUGAGCUCGCGUCUGAUUAGCUAGUUGGUGAGGUAAAGGCUCACCAAGGCAGCGAUCAGUAGCUGGUCUGAGAGGAUGACCAGCCACACUGGGACUGAGACACGGCCCAGACUCCUACGGGAGGCAGCAGGGGGGAAUUUUCCGCAAUGGGCGAAAGCCUGACGGAGCAAUACCGCGUGAGGGAAGAAGGCUCUUGGGUUGUAAACCUCUUUUCUUAGGGAAGAACAAAAUGACGGUACCUAAGGAAUCAGCAUCGGCUAACUCCGUG